RNAcentral lists this transfer RNA (67 nucleotides) under Curculionoidea sp. 30 KM-2017. RNAcentral describes it as "tRNA-Val". The record is from RNAcentral. Lineage: Eukaryota; Metazoa; Arthropoda; Insecta; Coleoptera.
CGGACUAGAGCUAGAGACAGUAUUUUACUUACACUAAAAAGAUUUCUGAAAUAUCAGAAUGGUCUGA